UGGUCCCUGCCUGACCGAAUGCUGACGUGAUGCGUCAGCGGCUUAUGUAGGUCUGGUGGGGUCCG
This 65-nucleotide non-coding RNA is filed under the name unclassified sequences. Its description in RNAcentral is "DUF3800-VIII RNA". It matches the Rfam family "DUF3800-VIII RNA". From Rfam's summary of the family: Bacteroidetes, Cyanobacteria, Firmicutes, Planctomycetes (1 example), Proteobacteria, Tenericutes (1 example). Nearby to DUF3800 The record is from Rfam by way of RNAcentral.